Molecule: transfer RNA, 120 nt
Organism: Oidiodendron maius Zn
Lineage: Eukaryota; Fungi; Ascomycota; Leotiomycetes; Myxotrichaceae
Rfam family: tRNA
About the family: Transfer RNA (tRNA) molecules are approximately 80 nucleotides in length. Their secondary structure includes four short double-helical elements and three loops (D, anti-codon, and T loops).
Source: Rfam
GCCCGGAUGGCGCAGUGGUCGUGCGCCUAGGUCUCAAAUGCCAUCAUCGAACCUAAUAGGUCUCGCUACGCUAUUUAACCCUGUGAUGUGAGGUUGCUGGUUCGAAUCUAGCUUUAGGCA